RNAcentral lists this transfer RNA (68 nucleotides) under human oral metagenome. It matches the Rfam family "tRNA". From Rfam's summary of the family: Transfer RNA (tRNA) molecules are approximately 80 nucleotides in length. The record is from RNAcentral.
CGCUGUAGCUCAGUUGGUAGAGCGGCGCUUUCGUAAAGCGUAGGUCACCGGUUCGAGUCCGGUCAGCG